UCGAAGCUCUCUGGGCAACAGGACACAAAUCAAAGAGAAAGAAUGAGGCGACGUGAUGACAAAAGCCGCAGCUGCCCUUUCUUCUCCUGAAGCAGGGUGAAAAGUGACAUAAUGGCAUUCUGGCUCAGGUAGUCGUUAUCAACAUCGCUUCUGAUUUGUGCUGAGCAACACUUCACGUUGCCUCUCCUCAUCCCUCACCCUGUAACGAGCUGUCAGCCAGCCUCUCCACCGGAUUGGGAAACACCGGCUCCACACCUCUGGAGCUGCAUUGUCAUGAGAAAAACUGUUGCUUCUGAUUAGGAAUAUCUUCCAUGGCUAACUAAUUGUUUUUGUUGGCCAUCUUACUGUGGACGUGUUGGUUUAAAAAACACAAGGAAAAAUGAAUAUAACACAUGAAAAGAAAUACUGAUGAAUUUGUUUUGUUUUUGUUUUUCUUUCUCUACAGAAAUAUAUUUUCAUUUAUUUUGAUUAUUUCUGUAUCAAAGUUGUAUUAUCUUUUCUCACCUGAAAGACGUAGAGUGCCUCUGAAAUGUCAAAGACUGAGUCCUUGUGACGAUUAAAACACUUCAAUGUGACAGAAUCCUCUCGUCAAAUAUCAGCAGGCACCUUCAUUCUGUUUUAGUGGUAUUUACAAAAGCUGUUAUAUUUCGGUAUCCAACUCAGACAUUUUGAGCGAUAUUUUGUUUUUUUAUCUUUUAUAAUGUAUUUGUAUCCCUUUAAUUUACAAUAAUAUUUUGCUGUCUGCAUGUUUCUUCAACGAUUAUUUAAAAAUAGUGAUAUACAAAAGCCUUGCCUCUAUUUGUGUGAGUGCUAUAUAUAAUGACAUGAGUUUAUAGGGGGAUUGUGGUCAACAAAUCUGUCCACUUGUAUUGAUUUUCAUUACGCAAGUUGUUUUUCAUUGAAUCGUGGAUACUCUACAUAGAAUACGAUCUGAAUCAAGGGCCAAAGUAUAGUGAAAGAACAAAACCGAGUAAGGUAACAAGCUGAAGUCUCAAGUCUGUGCAGCUUUACAAUGCACCUCCCAC
Long non-coding RNA from Gasterosteus aculeatus aculeatus (three-spined stickleback), 1025 nucleotides. Lineage: Eukaryota; Metazoa; Chordata; Actinopteri; Perciformes; Gasterosteidae. The record is from Ensembl.